UGGGGAAUUUUGCACAAUGGGCGAAAGCCUGAUGCAGCGACGCCGCGUGGAGGAUGACGGUCUUCGGAUUGUAAACUCCUGUUAAGUGGGAAGAAAGAUUCAUACCUAAUACGUAUGGAGGAUGACGGUACCACUAGAGAAAGCACCGGCAAACUUCGUGCCAGCAGCCGCGGUAAUACGAAGGGUGCGAGCGUUAUUCGGAAUAACUGGGCGUAAAGAGCGUGUCGGCGGCUUGUUAAGUCAUUUGUUAAAGAACUCGGCUCAACCGAGUGCAUGCGAGUGAAACUGACAGGCUAGAGUACGAGAGAGAAGGGUAGAAUUCUCGGAGUAGCGGUAAAAUGCGUAGAUCUCGAGAGGAAUACCGGUUGCGAAGGCGGCCCUUUGGCUCGUAACUGACGCU
This 400-nucleotide ribosomal RNA is filed under the name uncultured bacterium. RNAcentral describes it as "bacterial SSU rRNA". It matches the Rfam family "Bacterial small subunit ribosomal RNA", at positions 355 to 747 of the family's 1533-position model. The record is from RNAcentral.